GACGAACGCUGGCGGCGUGCCUAAUACAUGCAAGUAGAACGCUGAAGAGAGGAGCUUGCUCUUCUUGGAUGAGUUGCGAACGGGUGAGUAACGCGUAGGUAACCUGCCUGGUAGCGGGGGAUAACUAUUGGAAACGAUAGCUAAUACCGCAUAAAAUGGAUUAUCGCAUGAUAAUCCAUUGAAAGGUGCAAAUGCAUCACUACCAGAUGGACCUGCGUUGCAUUAGCUAGUUGGUGGGGUAACGGCUCACCAAGGCGACGAUACAUAGCCGACCUGAGAGGGUGAUCGGCCACACUGGGACUGAGACACGGCCCAGACUCCUACGGGAGGCAGCAGUAGGGAAUCUUCGGCAAUGGACGGAAGUCUGACCGAGCAACGCCGCGUGAGUGAAGAAGGUUUUCGGAUCGUAAAGCUCUGUUGUAAGAGAAGAACGAGUGUGAGAGUGGAAAGUUCACACUGUGACGGUAUCUUACCAGAAAGGGACGGCUAACUACGUG
Molecule: ribosomal RNA, 497 nt
Filed under: uncultured bacterium
Lineage: Bacteria
Description: partial 16S ribosomal RNA
Rfam family: Bacterial small subunit ribosomal RNA
Source: RNAcentral